AAACUAACAAGGAUUCCCCUAGUAGCGGCGAGCGAAGCGGGAAGAGCUCAAAUUUAUAAUCUGGCACUUUCAGUGUCCGAGUUGUAAUCUCUAGAAGUGUUUUCCGCGUUGGACCGCACAUAAGUCUGUUGGAAUACAGCGGCACAGUGGUGAUACCCCCGUUCAUGGUGCGGACGCCCAGCGCUUUGUGAUACACUUUCGAAGAGUCGAGUUGUUUGGGAAUGCAGCUCAAAUUGGGUGGUAAAUUCCAUCUAAAGCUAAAUAUUGGCGAGAGACCGAUAGCGAACAAGUACCGUGAGGGAAAGAUGAAAAGCACUUUGGAAAGAGAGUUAACAGUACGUGAAAUUGUUGGAAGGGAAACGCUUGAAGUCAGACUUGCUUGCCGGACUUGUUCGGUUUGCAGGCCAGCAUCAGUUUUCCGGGGUGGAAAAGGGUGGUUAGAAGGUAGCAGCUUCAGCUGUGUUAUAGCUUUCCACUGGAUACAUCCUGGGGGACUGAGGAACGCAGCGUGCUUUUAGCGGGGGUCUCGACCCCUUCACGCUUAGGAUGCUGGUGUAAUGGCUUUAAACGAC
Molecule: ribosomal RNA, 572 nt
Filed under: Rhodotorula sp. 14Y312
Lineage: Eukaryota; Fungi; Basidiomycota; Microbotryomycetes; Sporidiobolales; Sporidiobolaceae
Description: LSU rRNA
Rfam family: Eukaryotic large subunit ribosomal RNA
Source: RNAcentral